UAUUCCAUAUUAUUCUCUCGUGCAUCGUCCCAUUCAUUUCCUCUCCGCCGCCAUUAUUCUCAUCUCAGCGGUCGUGAGACGCGGAUCUUGUGCCGUUAGCCGUUGUCCGUUUGUCUCGUUGCUCGUUGCGGCAGCGUGUGCGUGUUUGAGGCUAAAACAUAAAUAAGGAUAACUAUCCGCCCCACUACCCGACAUCCGACUAUGGGCGAUUAUCCCGAACAGUGAUAGAGCUUUCGUGAGAACGAUCCUGAACGUCCUGUGCGCGGGUGUGUCCUUUCGUGAAAACCGCAGCCGUGAAGUGAAUAUCGGCAGAAACAAGCAAGGUGGUGUGCACAUAGUUCCGCCGUCGCUCCCGUUCUCGCUUGUGGGCUGCUGCGUGUUGUGUGCGCGGAAUCGUCACGCAUAGCCUACUCGACCCCACUACACGACCCCUCAAUCGCCAAGGCGCGGACGUGCGUUGCUGGAGAUGUCUGCUGGCGCUAAGGUGGAGUGAGGCGUAAAAGUGAAAAAGCUCCCUUCCUCUCGCCUUUCCCUCUUCCGCGCGAGCGCGUGUGUGUCCACCAUCCCGCGCCGAGUGUGUGUGUGUCAGACGGGGAGCCGGAAAUCGAUUUGCCUGGAUUGCAAUCUCAGCGCAAACACACGUCGUCUCCGUGUCCGUAGCAGCGCAGCGAAUGCAACGCUCAGCGCGACGCUCGCACUUCUCGUAAACCACUCUCGGCCCCGGCCGUCUCCUUCCUCCGUCCAUUCUUCCCUCCCUUCGCGUGAAACCCGGAUGAAUGAGUGCGAUUGUGUGUGACCCCGAGAGGGAACAGCAGCAGCAGCAGCAGCAGCGGUGAAUGUGGUGUGUGAUGUGUGCCCGCCGUGUGUAAGCGUAAACGCGUAAAGGAACGCGUGCGUUCGCAUCAUCCAGGCCUACUGUGCCAGCAAAUCCUCAUCCUACUAGGCCUACUGUGUGCUGAGAAGGAUUCCAUCCGAGACCGAGAGUCCUUUUCCGGGGCGAAACAAGCGAACCCAAGCCAAACCUGACUCCAGUAGUCUGUGCGUCGCGUCGUCCUCCAGCAGCAACACCACCACCACUACCACCACAACCAGCGAACCGGCGGAACAGAUAACAACGACCGGCACAAAUCGACCAGAACCAGAACCACGUAAGAUCAUCACCAGUAGCGAUGGAACCGAUGGAGGCACGAGUGGCGAUGCUGCAGGACCUGAAAAUCCAAUCGUUCGAUACGAUCCGGUUCGCCUCCUACCGGACGGCCUGCAAGCUGCGCUACGUUCAAAAGUCCACCAACCUGCAUCUGGUCGAUAUCUGGAACGUGAUUGAGGCAUUUCGUGAGAAUGGGCUGAACACACUCGAGCCACAGAACGAAGUAAGCGUGAGCCGGUUGGAAACGCUCGUCUCGUCCCUGUACCACAACCUCAACAAGCGCCUGCCACCAAACCAGCAGGUGCACGUCGACUCAAAGGCGAGUCUGCUGCUAAAUUGGCUACUGGCGGCCUAUUCCGGUGACAACUCGGGCAAGAUACGCGUUUUCUCCAUCAAGGUGGCACUCGCGAUCAUGUGCGCCGGCAAAAUGGUCGACAAGUUACGAUACGUGUUCUCACAGGUUUCGGACGGUGCCGGUCAGCUGAUACACUGGAAGCUGGGGGAUUUUCUGCGCGAGGUGCUCGCCCUACCGGCGGCCGUCUUCGAGUCACCGACCUUCUUCUACAAGGAGGGCCUCGAGUCGGAGAUCUUCCCAGUGGAGAACAAAAUCACGGUGAACGACUUUAUGGCCGGUUUCAUGACCGAACCGGGGCCCGCCUGUCUCGUCUGGAUGCCGCUGCUGCACCGGCUCGCCACGGUCGAAACGGUCGUCCAUCCGACCGUCUGCUCCGUCUGUAUGCGCGAAAACUUUACCGGUUUCCGGUAUCGGUGCCAGCGGUGCCACGGUUACCAGCUGUGUCAGGAUUGUUUCUGGCAGGGGCGCGUCUCACUUAACCAUCAGAACGAUCACGAGGUGAAGGAGUACUCGAGCUACAAGAGCCCCAGCAAACAGAUCGGCCACUCGCUGCGCAAGAGCUUCCGGUGUGUACCGGACAAACCGACGCAAGCGUUGCCCCGGUUUCCGGAGCUACCCGAGAAGACGCUUAACCUGUCGCACAUCGUGCCACCGUCACCGCUCCCCUCGCACAACGGGUUCCCCGAUGGUGGCAUCCCGGGAUUGUACGAGCGAAGCAGUACGCUGGACUCAAGGGCCACCGGACUCUCGCUGGAUAGCAAUGGGACGUCGGGGACGCGCGGUGGUGCCGUCAACUCGAACGAUGAAGAGCACAGACUGAUCGCCCGAUAUGCGGCACGACUCGCGCAAGAAAGCCGAACGCCCGGUGGUUCAGCACCCGAUCCGGUGCAGAUAGGGCUGGACAGUUCACGGGCACAGCGUGAACUGAUCAUGCAGCUCGAAUCGAAAAAUAAGGAAAUUAUGCGCGAAAUUCAGAAGCUGCGGCGGCAACAAGAAGCGGAACAGGUGGCCCCCGAGAGUCCGGCUCUAAUGAACGAGCUGCGGGCCCUCCGGCAACGUAAGGGUGAGCUCGAGGGUCAUCUCGGUGCACUACAGGACUCCCGGCGGCAGCUGAUGGCCCAGCUCGAGGGUUUGAUGCGAAUGCUAAAGAACCACCAGACGCAAAGCCCUCGCUCGACACCCAACUCUAGUCCACGGUCGGGCAAAAGUCCACCGUUACCACAAGGUCCACCGAUGCCCAACCAGGGUCGGCAGGGACCGAUGAAUGCCGGUGGUUCCGGAAUGCCUCCGAAUGUACCGCCCGGUAUGCUGCCGCCCGGGGUCAGCAUGCACGGUCCGGAUGCUCACAUGAUGGUCGGUGGCGUGGGGGGACCGAUGGAUAUGCGAGGAGGUUAUGCCCCGAAUGGCAACAACAGUUCGUCUCCACCGGACACAACCCCCUUCUUGAAGGAGCGCAGAGUUUAGGGUGCUUUGGCAUGGAAACGAUCCUAGCUUCUCAGCUUCCUGAUACGCCAGCUACACGCUCCCGAUUCCCGCGCAUUGCCGCGUGAGUCCAUCCUGUGUUGUCCGGUCGGCUGACAGACGCUGGUGACUGGACCAUCGUGCUUCCACAGACUACUUCCACGCUUAAAGCGAGCCCCACCGAUCGUGUGUACCACCGAGUUCCCACCCCUCACAGGGAGUCCAGCAGACUGUUUGUUGCUUUCCGUUUCCAUUUGCGGCCAGGCAGUGUACAAAACAGGUUCCGUAUCCGUUAUCCAAUCCAAAUGAAUUCUAAAUGAGGCUUUAAUGACAAUUUCGCUAGCUUAUACGCAGUUCCCGCAAUAUAUAGCCGAUAGUCGAUAGUAACCGUGUUGACAACAGACACUAACAACCCUAACGGCGCCCCCGCCCAAAAAUAGGCAUCGAAAAGAGUGCUUUAAAGACAUGAAACAGAAUCCUUGCCAAAGCUACUAAACUAGUUCAUGCAACAAAGUUCAACAUGAUAUAACAACGAAAUCGCUCACACAUCCGUACUCAACGCACACACGUGCUACACACACGCAAAUAAGCACACGCUCCCUACCUUCUGUUGCUCCCUCUAAUAACCCCUUACUAAACUAAACGAACUAAUGUAUAUACUUUGCUUUUUGAGUUGCGGAAACCCUCCCUGAAAAACGACUUUGUUUGGUUUUGUAUUUUGAAACGAUUCACUAACGGUCCAGCCCCUCCCCCUCCAGCGGCAUGCUUCAACAUAGCAUUAUCCGUUCACUUCGCAUCGUAAGGAAAGUGUGAUAAAAGGUGAUCGCGAUCCUCGCACACAUGAAUGUUGUGGCGAAGCUAAACACAACAAAGUACAAACAGGGUGGGGAAAGAGCUAUAAUAGCGAGAAGAAGAUUUUGAGCUUUUGAAUUUUGUAAAUGCAGUUCACGCCCCGGCAAUGCUCGAUCCGCCUUCUACCUUGCAACCCGCCCUUUACCACCCUUUAAACACACACGUCCUUGCCCAACUCCACACUAUUGCUGCGUCCCACAAGCAACACAAGAAACGCUCCUCAACAUAGACCUUCGAUCGCCCCCACCGGGUGAUUGAUGAUCGUUUUUGAUUCUUUUUCCGCAUGUCAAUUACAAUCUUCCACGCAACACGCUCAUCAUCAUGAUCAUCAUCAACUACAUCAACUUCAUCUACUACUACUUCACACCAAUGGCUGAUCAUCAUUAAACACCUACCGAUGUACAACACACUCCGAUCGUUUUCACCGAUCUUCGCAACUGUCAACUGUGCAACUCCAUCAUCUACUAUCUUGAUAAUCAACACUGUAAUACACACACGGACACAUACACCCCCAAACGCCGUACCAAACGAUGAAAAACCAAAAUGUACUAACUACAAUCACUCCCAACACGCCCCAUCUCCCACAAAACACUCUGCAACACACACACACAAUCUGUAUCCUACUACUGUAUGCCUGCCACUCCAAUAUGUGCGCCGGCCUGCGGGGGGCUUGGCUUGUGCGGGGGAAUGCGAAAUGUGGUUGUGAACAGUAUUCUUUCCCCACUACGAUGGACAUCUGCCGCCCGGUGUCGUGCACAAGCCGCCGAUGCGCUACUUUUCAGAGGGUUCAGACGACUCAGAUAGUAUCCCGUCACAGCAUGCCAUGCGCCACUCGCUAGAUUUCGACGAAAUGCACA
This is an RNA transcript of Anopheles darlingi, 4672 nucleotides long. It is a transcript of the gene named dystrobrevin beta, with no coding region annotated. Lineage: Eukaryota; Metazoa; Arthropoda; Insecta; Diptera; Culicidae. The record is from RefSeq and is a predicted model, not a curated record. The transcript is spliced from 10 exons.